This is a long non-coding RNA of Gossypium arboreum, 1583 nucleotides long. RefSeq lists it as uncharacterized. The record is from RefSeq and is a predicted model, not a curated record. The transcript has 7 exons. NCBI's taxonomy places the organism in Eukaryota, Viridiplantae, Streptophyta, Magnoliopsida, Malvales, Malvaceae.
UCCCCUGUUGUGUCUGUAUUCUUUUGUAGAUAUAGCAUAUAUUGUCCAAAAAGGGAAUUCUCCAUAUAUAUUAAUUAAUUUGGAGGAAAAUUGAACGGCACUUGGAGAUUUCAAUACAGUAGCAAAAUGAUUCUGCUUUGGAGUUGAUACAAUACCCAUAGGGGAUUUUGGACCAAUGGUGGACUCGAUUCAGCUUCAUUGUUUAGUUUCCAGCAUUGGUGUCAUCUGACUAGGGAAUAACAGAUCAUUGAGAACACCUGAGCUGUAAGACCUUCAUUUUGUUUUACUGAAUUCAAAGUAAUCAUUUGAUGCCCUUUCUGGUUCUGGCAAUUCAGUCUUGGUGGAGAAAAUUUGCUAGAGAUCUCAAAGCUUGUGGGCUGGACACAUGGAGGUGGAGGCAACUUUUGACUGUUUUCAUUGUCAAGCUAGAUUCGGAUCGGUGGUGGAUAUCAUUCAGCUUAAUUGUUUAGGUUCCACAAUUGGUGCUCAUGCCAUGGGCAGUAAGUAGAGAUUUAAUCAUAUUGUAUCUCAAUACUAUCUGCAUUUUACUUCAAUGAUUCAUUCACCCAUUGAUUUAUGUUUCAUAUUUCCUCAAAACGCUAGUAAAUAUAUAUAUAUGUUUUCAGUUCAUGGUUUCUGAUUUAUAUUCAUGUUAGCUAAGGUAAACCUACCAACUAUUCCCUAUAUAUAAUCUAUUUGCUAUGUUUUAUUAUUUUUGAAUUUUAUGACUAUGAUCUGUUGAUUCCAUAAAACUUAGAUGAAAGUCAAGCCGGACACAAAUUCAAUACUCUACUGGAAUUGAAGUUGCAGAUUAUGGGUGGUUUUGAUAUCUUCUUUCUCACCAACAAAUGAAGUUCCAACAAAAUUACUGGUGUUAAGGUGAAGGUUGUGAAUCAAUGCAAAAUCCACAUUUAUAGAUGUGCCCUUUUACCUAGAGAUUAAGCUUUUAAUUUUUGAAUUUGGUAAUGUGAAGGGAAUAAAGAUGGCAAUGGUUGAUGAAAGGAAAGAAGAUGAGGGAAUAAAUGACAGAUGUUUGCAACAAAGUUGCCUUGCUCAUCCCAUCCAGCUUUGCGUCAAUGCUUUUUGGAUUUUGGCCAUUGAGAGGAAGCAUAUGAUAUUGGAAUUAGGCAGAGUUGCUCUUAUCUCAAAACAAGUUGAAUGAACACAUGGAACCUGGAUGUUAUUUUCAAUUCCAACCCUAUCACAGUUUUCAUUCUCAAGCUAGAUUGAUGAGCUUUUAUGCUUACCCCAUAGAGGAACCCAACAUAAACACUUGGAAGAAAAAAAUCCAAAUGAUUUUGGUUUAGUUGGAACUUCAAAGUGCAGAGCUGGUUUCGUGGUAAAGCCAUUUGACUUGAUUGUUAUAUCAGUUUGGGCUAAAACUUGAAUCAAUUUUCCCCUUUUGUAAUUAAAAUUCCAGAAUUUUAUUCUGUUUUGGAAUUGAAAGGAUGCAACAUUGGAAUUGGUUUGUACAUCGUUUUUAUGAGAUGGUAUCCAACAAAUUCAAGAUUUGUAGCUUAGUAAUUAAAAUAACUUUCUGUAAUACUAAACUAUGAUUGAUGCGUCGUUGAGAGCACCAAAAA